CAAGAGGAGUGAGAUGCGGACGGUGGUGGAGAGCGAGGUGCGUUGAGAUGUGUUGAAGGACACAAACUUAGGAGAAACUUUCGCACUUUAAUAUUAGGUACACUUCAGUCAAUUCAGGGGAUCCAAUAUGAGGAGUAGCGAUGAAGGCCUUGUGCAUGCGAUGCCCAUCUUGCUAAUUGUGAUUUUCGGACGACUGACAUUGCCUGGUUGUCCUGAGCUACUCAAGGCAGGAGACGCAACGAGUUACAAAAAUAGUCUUAUAUCUAUGGACACAAGCUCAAGUGCAGUUAUAGUCCAAAACACAUCGGUAGGAGAGAAAAAGUUGACUAUAGAAUUUUGUGUGAGGUAUGACUGCGAUGAGGAUCAUCACCCCUGCUACUGUUGUGAUAACGGGGACCAAAAGUGUCACAGCACAAGGAAGGAGUGUCAAGCCAAUUGCCCCGCGUGCAACCCUCAUUGCCCCCCACAACAAUUGAAUCAAACAAUGAUGAUAGGGAGGUCUUCGCGCACAUUAACGAAUUCUACUUUAGUUAGAGGUGCAUGAUGAUCUUACAACUUUUAGUACUGAAUAACAAUGUAAGAUGCACAAUAUAUGUGUUAGCAUCCAGUUUUCCAAAGAAGAAUAAACACUUGUUAUAUGUGUAUC
Long non-coding RNA from Sorghum bicolor (sorghum), 646 nucleotides. RefSeq lists it as uncharacterized. NCBI's taxonomy places the organism in Eukaryota, Viridiplantae, Streptophyta, Magnoliopsida, Poales, Poaceae. The record is from RefSeq and is a predicted model, not a curated record. The transcript has 3 exons.